UGUAGCUCAGGUGGACAGAGCAACUGCCUUCUAAGCAGUGGGUCGGGGGUUCGAGUCCCUCCA
This 63-nucleotide transfer RNA is filed under the name Chloroflexota bacterium. RNAcentral describes it as "Chloroflexi bacterium (hot springs metagenome) tRNA-Arg". It matches the Rfam family "tRNA", at positions 6 to 65 of the family's 71-position model. From Rfam's summary of the family: Transfer RNA (tRNA) molecules are approximately 80 nucleotides in length. The record is from RNAcentral. Lineage: Bacteria; Bacillati; Chloroflexota.